CCGCGUGAGGGAGGAGGCUCUUGGGUUGUAAACCUCUUUUCUCAGGGAAGAACUCAAUGACGGUACCUGAGGAAUCAGCAUCGGCUAACUCCGUGCCAGCAGCCGCGGUAAUACGGAGGAUGCAAGCGUUAUCCGGAAUGAUUGGGCGUAAAGCGUCCGCAGGUGGUAUUUCAAGUCUGCCGUUAAAAAGUUUGGCUCAACCAAAUCAAGGCGGUGGAAACUGAAAAACUAGAGUGUGAUAGGGGUAGAGGGAAUUCCUGGUGUAGCGGUGAAAUGCGUAGAGAUCAGGAAGAACACCGGUGGCGAAAGCGCUCUGCUAGGUCACGACUGACACUGAGGGACGAAAGCUAGGGGAGCGAAUGGGAUUAGAUACCCCAGUAGUCUUAGCUGUAAACGAUGGAUACUAGGCGUUGCUCGUAUCGACCCGAGCAGUGCCGUAGCUAACGCGUUAAGUAUCCCGCCUGGGGAGUACGCACGCAAGUGUGAAACUCAAAGGAAUUGACGGGGGCCCGCACAAGCGGUGGAGUAUGUGGUUUAAUUCGAUGCAACGCGAAGAACCUUACCAGGGCUUGACAUGUCCGGAAUCUCAGGGAAACUUGAGAGUGCCUUCGGGAGCCGGAACACAGGUGGUGCAUGGCUGUCGUCAGCUCGUGUCGUGAGAUGUUGGGUUAAGUCCCGCAACGAGCGCAACCCUCGUUCUUAGUUGCCAGCAUUAAGUUGGGCACUCUAAGAAGACUGCCGGUGACAAACCGGAGGAAGGUGGGGAUGACGUCAAGUCAGCAUGCCCCUUACGUCCUGGGCUACACACGUACUACAAUGCAUGAGACAAAGGGCAGCUAACCAGCAAUGGCAUGCAAAUCUCGUAAACUCAUGCUCAGUUCAGAUCGAAGGCUGCAACUCGCCUUCGUGAAGGUGGAAUCGCUAGUAAUCGCAGGUCAGCAUACUGCAGUGAAUUCGUUCCCGGGCCUUGUACACACCGCCCGUCACACCAUGGAAGCUGGUAGUGCCCGAAGUCGUUACCCUAACCAUUCGUGGAAGGGGAUGCCGAAGGCAGGACUGGUGACUGGGGUGAAGUGGUAACAAGGUAGCCGUACCGGAAGGUGUGGCUGGAUCACCUCCUUU
This 1122-nucleotide ribosomal RNA is filed under the name Scytonematopsis maxima LCR-FBC. RNAcentral's name for it is "bacterial SSU rRNA". It matches the Rfam family "Bacterial small subunit ribosomal RNA", at positions 397 to 1533 of the family's 1533-position model. RNAcentral also lists the same sequence under 1 other name. The record is from RNAcentral. Lineage: Bacteria; Bacillati; Cyanobacteriota; Cyanophyceae; Nostocales; Scytonemataceae.